Molecule: ribosomal RNA, 258 nt
Filed under: uncultured bacterium
Lineage: Bacteria
Description: partial 16S ribosomal RNA
Rfam family: Bacterial small subunit ribosomal RNA
Source: RNAcentral
CUUGCUUUCUUUGCUGGCGACCGGCGCACGGGUGAGUAACACGUAUCCAACCUGCCCUUUACUCGGGGAUAGCCUUUCGAAAGAAAGAUUAAUACCCGAUAGUAUAAUGAUUCCGCAUGGUUUCAUUAUUAAAGGAUUCCGGUAAAGGAUGGGGAUGCGUUCCAUUAGGUUGUUGGUGAGGUAACGGCUUACCAAGCCUUCGAUGGAUAGGGGUUCUGAGAGGAAGGUCCCCCACAUUGGAACUGAGACACGGUCCAA